GACGUAGGGCGCGAGCGUUGUCCGGAUUUUUUGGGCGUAAAGAGCUCGUAGGCGGCUUGUUGCGUCGACUGUGAAAACCCGCGGCUUAACUGCGGGCUUGCAGUUGAUACGGGCAGGCUAGAGUUCGGUAGGGGAGACUGGAAUUCCUGGUGUAGCGGUGAAAUGCGCAGAUAUCAGGAGGAACACCGGUGGCGAAGGCGGGUCUCUGGGCCGAUACUGACGCUGAGGAGCGAAAGCGUGGGGAGCGAACAGG
Molecule: ribosomal RNA, 253 nt
Filed under: uncultured bacterium
Lineage: Bacteria
Description: partial 16S ribosomal RNA
Rfam family: Bacterial small subunit ribosomal RNA
Source: RNAcentral